UACGGAGGGUGCGAGCGUUGUCCGGAAUCAUUGGGCGUAAAGGGCGCGUAGGUGGCGGGACAAGCGUGCGGUGAAAGCUCGGGGCUCAACCCCGAGUCGGCCGUGCGAACUGUUUUGCUUGAGCACUGUAGAGGCAGGCGGAAUUCCGGGGUGUAGCGGUGGAAUGGCGUAGAGAUCCGGAAGAACACCGGUGGCGAAGGCGGCCUGCUGGGCAGUAGCUGACACUGAGGCGCGACAGCGUGGGGAGCAAACAGG
Molecule: ribosomal RNA, 255 nt
Filed under: uncultured bacterium
Lineage: Bacteria
Description: partial 16S ribosomal RNA
Rfam family: Bacterial small subunit ribosomal RNA
Source: RNAcentral